UGGCAGAACAACCUGUUUGUUUAGUGGGGUACAAAGCCCUUGGAGGCUCUGAGUGCCCCAUAGCACACGUUCAGUGUGAGAUCUCUGCCUCCUAACAGGACUGUUUCUGUGAUUUCCAGUAUCAUAGCUUUUUCCUUCCAGGUUCUCAGAGCCUUGAGUACAUGCACACAGAGGUUAGUGCUUCAUAAUUCUGAGAUACAAGUGGUCCAUAAUUUACAUAAAUGACUGUGGUUACUUUUGUUUUUCCACUGCUGUAUUAGAACCUAGAAGGAAAAAGCUAUGAUACUGGAAAUCACAGCUUUCCAUCACUAUAAUGAGAUCCCUGAGGCAACUAACUUAUAAAGGUUUAUUUAGCACAUGGUUCUGGAGUUUUCAGUGGAAGUUCAGGGGUCCCUAUCACUUGGGUCUCUGAUGAGGGUUGGGAUAUUGUUAGUAGUGAGUGGCGGAGCAAACCACUCACAAUAUAAACCCAGAAACAGAAAUGUAGGUGAGAUCCCACAAUCCCCUUCAGGAAUCUGGCCCCAAUGAAUUAAACCUUUCACUGGACCCCAUCUUCUUAAAGGUCUGUCAUAUCUCCCUAAGUACCACUCAAGUAAAUAACCAAGUCUUUAACAUGUGGACCUUUAGGAAAUAAUACCCACAUUUAAAUCAUAGCAAUAGCCGUAUUGAAUUUUUAUCAUAGUUUUGUUAGCCUUCCAGUCCUCCUCCUGUGUGUAUGUGUAAUAAUAACCAACAUUAUUGAAUAUGUCGAUGCAUUACCGAUAUCUGUUUAAAAAUUUUCAUAGCAACUUGGUGUGGUAGGCACUAUGCUUUAUAUUAAGUAUUUAUUUUGUGUACACCAAAUAUUAUUUUAAGUGUUUCACAAGUUUGAAGCUCAUGUAAUUAUUAAAACAAUUAUGUAAGGUAGAAAUGACUCUAUCUUCCAUUUCUUGGCCACAGAAAAUACACCAUUGAGAGGUUAGCCAUUAUUACUUGGCCUUUUAAGUGGUAAAGAUGGGAUUGGAAUCUAGGAAGUCAGAUUCUAGAAUGUGCUUCUUAACAGUUAUGCUUUUCUGCAGCCUUGCUCCUAUUCCCAGUUCUGAUCCAGGACUAAUUCCUGAAAAAUAUGUGAUAAGCACUUCUGGGAGAUCUCAGUGAUGCUCUUUGCACAAUAACCAUAAGGAAGGCCAGGUACUGAUCACAUGGUCGUCUCCGCUGUGUUGUUAUUCUUCUGCUGCUUCAGUCUUCCAUUCUGCUUCUAUAUCCACAGGACAAAAAAAAAAGCUCUGCUUUAUCUGGGAAUCACCACACUGUUGGAGUAGGCAUAGUUUUUGGAGAGUGAUGCUGCCCAUACUAGGUUCUAUGUAUAAAACAUAGGGACAAAGAGAACAUUGUGUGCACGGGUGAGGGAUGAGAUAUGUUGGAAUUUUGUACUUUCUACUCAACUUUUUGUAAACUUAAAACAGCUCUUAAAAGUAAGUUUAUUAAUAUUUUAGAAAGUAGGUUUGUCACUGGAAGAGGUCUAGGGAGUUCUGGAGGACUAAGAGACCUCAAUUCAGGACCAUCGGGUAAGAUGAUGACCUUAACAGAAAAAAAUUUCAAUAUGCAUCAGAGACACAGACAGGGAUUUAUUUAGGAAAGCAGGUGCAUAUUCAGGGAAGAACAUAGGCUAUCUCAAGAGACAGAGAUGCUCUUGGGGUAAAACAAGGAAUACAUAUUCAAGGGAGAAUGUGGACUAUCUCUGGAGUGAAAGACACUUUGGGGGUUCUUAGGCUCUUAUUCCCCACCCCCGCAUGGUAUUGGUGAUUUAACCUAGGGGCUGCUCUCUAUCAUUGAGGUAACUCUCCAGCCAUUUUCAUUUUUUAUUUUGAGACAGGGUCUUGCUAAAUUACUGAAGCUGGCCUUGAACUUGCAAGCUUCUGGCUUAGCCUAUAUAGUUACUGGAAUUACAGGUGUGCACCACCAUGCCUUGCUAAGGCUCUUUUAAAGGAAAGAAACUUGUUGAGGGAUUGGCAUAGGAAGGUAUUCACAUCUAUAUAGUCAUCACAAGAUGUUUUAUGGUCGUCUGAUUUUUCUCCGGAUCCUUAGGCCAAUGUGAUCUUUGGAUCAACCCAAGCACAAAUGCUACUGCUUCUCUUUCAGCAAAGUGUCUCCAAGUAUCUUUUGUUUGUUUAUGUGUUUGGGUUGUCUCUCCCUCCCUCAUAUUCAUAACUAAGACACACACAUAUGCUAAUAGUCCAGGUCCCACCUGAUACUGAAGAAAUUCACAUUAUUUUACCAUUUUUGUGAGUGCACAGAAAACUUCCAGUUCCUGUUCAGUUCCCUGUAUCUAANGACUAAUCCACAAAGCUACAACUAUCUUAUAUUUGAUAAAGGAGCUAAAAGCAUGCAAUGGAGGGAGGAUAGCAUCUUCAACAAAUGGUGCUGGGAAAACUGGAAAUCCAUAUGCAACAAAAUGAAACUGAAUCCCCUCCUCUCGCCAUGCACAAAAGUUAACUCAAAGUGGAUCAAGGAGCUAGAUAUCAAAUCAGAGACUCUGCGUCUGAUAGAAGAAAAAGUUGGCUCCGAUCUACAUAUUGUGGGGUCGGGCUCCAAAUUCCUUAAUAGGACACCCAUAGCACAAGAGUUAAUAACAAGAAUCAACAAAUGGGACUUACUUAAACUGAAAAGUUUUUUCUCAGCAAGAGAAACAAUAAGAGAGGUAAAUAGGGAGCCUACAUCAUGGGAACAAAUUUUUACUCCUCACACUUCAGAUAGAGCCCUAAUAUCCAGAGUAUACA
Molecule: long non-coding RNA, 2759 nt
Filed under: Marmota monax (woodchuck)
Lineage: Eukaryota; Metazoa; Chordata; Mammalia; Rodentia; Sciuridae
Source: RNAcentral